AGAGUUUGAUUAUGGCUCAGGAUGAACGCUAGCUACAGGCUUAACACAUGCAAGUCGAGGGGCAGCGAGAGAAAGCUUGCUUCUUGUCGGCGACCGGCGCACGGGUGAGUAACGCGUAUCCAACUUCCCCUUAGUAGGGCAUAGCCCGUAGAAAUGCGGAUUAAUACCCUAUGUUGUUCGAUGCGGACAUCUAAGUUGAACCAAAGGUUUACCGCUAAGGGAUGGGGAUGCGUCUGAUUAGGCAGCAGGCGGGGUAACGGCCCACCUGGCCGACGAUCAGUAGGGGUUCUGAGAGGAAGGUCCCCCACAUUGGAACUGAGACACGGUCCAAACUCCUACGGGAGGCAGCAGUGAGGAAUAUUGGUCAAUGGGCGCGAGCCUGAACCAGCCAAGUAGCGUGCCAGGAUGACGGCUCUAUGGGUUGUAAACUGCUUUUAUGCGGGGAUAAAGUGCGGCACGUAUGCCGUUUUGUAGGUACCGCAUGAAUAAGGACCGGCUAAUUCCGUGCCAGCCGCCGC
This 518-nucleotide ribosomal RNA is filed under the name uncultured bacterium. Its description in RNAcentral is "bacterial SSU rRNA". It matches the Rfam family "Bacterial small subunit ribosomal RNA", at positions 8 to 518 of the family's 1533-position model. The record is from RNAcentral.